This 438-nucleotide ribosomal RNA is filed under the name uncultured bacterium. RNAcentral's name for it is "partial 16S ribosomal RNA". It matches the Rfam family "Bacterial small subunit ribosomal RNA", at positions 29 to 507 of the family's 1533-position model. The record is from RNAcentral.
AACGAACGCUGGCGGCAUGCCUAACACAUGCAAGUCGAACGAGACCUUCGGGUCUAGUUGCGCACGGGUGCGUACCGCGUGGUAACCUGCCCUUAGGUUCGGAAUAACUCCCCGAAAGGGGUGCUAAUACCGGUUAAUGUCUUCGGACCAAAGAUUUGUCGCCUUUCGAUGGGCUCGCGUUGGGUUAGCUAGUUGGUAGGGUAAAGGCCUACCAAGGCGACGAUCGGUAGCUGGUCUGAGAGGAUGAUCAGCCACACUGGGACGGGACCACGGCCCAGACUCGAACGGGAGGCAAGGGAGGGGUAUAGAAUAUUGGACGCGGAAGGAAGAUGUAACAACGCCACGCGGGGUGAGAGAUGCAGGGCGUAGGGUUGUGAAGCUGUUUGAGACGGGGUGAUAAUGACAGUACCGGGAGAAUAAGCACCGGCUAACUACGUG